AGGAAUUCCUGGAGCUUCGUCCUUGCUGUGGAUUCUAAACUAUCCCGAAAGCCCCUCGGACAUAUGAGUAAGAAAAAAAAUAUCACCCGGCCAACUCACAAUAGAAUCUCCCGCCAAAUUCUUUUAAUGGUCACUUGAAAUGCGAGGAAAAAAUUGUUUUUUUUUAAAUAUAUCCGGUCCGGAAAUAUCACAAGAUAUGGAGAAUGGACACCGCAAAAUAUCCGGACUUGCGUCCGGUAUAACCUUUGGCACCACAGAAGAUUCAAUAUCACUUCCUGACAUGCAAUCAUUUACAUUACAAAGUCGAUUACAAUCUUUAGAUGUACCCGAAAUUCUAUAAGUAAAAAUGUACAUAAUGCAAUAUUGAUUUUUAAUAAACAUAUGUACUGAUUUUAACAUUUCGUAUGGAAACAUGACUAAGGCCAUUGGAAAUGUCAGACGUCGAAACUGAUAUCAUGACCAGCACUUUUUUUGUAGUACUGUACUUUUAUAAUCUUUUUUUAUCGCUUGUAAGCUUUACGAAACUAAUUAUUGUAAUUUUAUUAUUGAUUAUUAAUUAUUUAAAUUUAUGUUUAGUAAAGUAAAAGACCCAGUACUCAA
Microplitis mediator is the source of this 600-nucleotide long non-coding RNA. RefSeq lists it as uncharacterized. The transcript is spliced from 3 exons. NCBI's taxonomy places the organism in Eukaryota, Metazoa, Arthropoda, Insecta, Hymenoptera, Braconidae. The record is from RefSeq and is a predicted model, not a curated record.